Non-coding RNA from Camellia sinensis, 593 nucleotides. The record is from RefSeq and is a predicted model, not a curated record. Lineage: Eukaryota; Viridiplantae; Streptophyta; Magnoliopsida; Ericales; Theaceae.
AAGUUGGACCAUGAUGUAAAUAUACAAGACUUUUUGGGUUCAAGCACUCAAUCAAUUGAGGAAUUAUCCAACCAAUUGAGGAUGAUGCGAGCUCAACUUACAGAAGCACACAGGAGACUGAGGUGCAACUUUGAAGCUCAUAUUUGUUAAAGUGAGGUCUGCUACUCUGGACACGUGGCUUCCUGAACAGGUUGCAUUUAUUCAAUCUAUGAGAAAUGAGAAGUCAAAUAGUUAUUGGGAAGCUGAGUUGCCCCCUAAUUACGACAGAGUUGGGAUUGAGAAUUUCAUACACACAAAGUGUGAAGAGAAGAGAUGGGUUCCUAAGGAUGGCAAGCCAAUGUCACCUUCUAGAGUAAUAGAAGAAAAGGCUUCUAUGCAAUGGUAGAGACCUAGUGAUAGGAGUGGUCAUGGAUAUGCUAACAAUUCUCAUUUUAAUAUUGAGAGGGGUUGGGAUCAUAAUUUCAAGUAUGAAAAGAAAAAAAAAACAAAAUAAAUACAUAAUAAAUGGUUGUCUUACUAAUGUAAUUGGAUAACUAAUCAUACACUAACUCAUGGGAUUAUUAAUCAUUUCACUAGUAAUCUUAUUAAUCAAA